Molecule: RNA transcript, 5231 nt
Organism: Zingiber officinale
Lineage: Eukaryota; Viridiplantae; Streptophyta; Magnoliopsida; Zingiberales; Zingiberaceae
Gene name: ARF guanine-nucleotide exchange factor GNOM-like
Exons: 3
Source: RefSeq, a predicted model, not a curated record
AGGAAACAAAUAGAGCGAGAGAAGAGCUGAUCUUCCAAUCCUCCCUGUCUCUUCCUCACCUCCCUCGGAGAGAUCUCGUCUCCGGCGUCUCCCUUUCUUCGUCGGAGUUUCCUCUUCCUCCUCCUCUAUCUCCUCCACAUUUAUUAAUCCAAUCCCCCUCUAAACCUCUGAUCUCCCGUUGUUCUUUCCAUUUCUUGUUUCCAUCCUCGCAUCUACCGGACUUCGGUCCGCCUCAGAGAUCUACACUUUUCCAAUCACUUCGAGAUUCGAUCCCAUUCCUGGCCCCCCGAGUAUUGAUGCUUUCUUAGCCGCUUUUGACACUAAAGAUCCAAUCUUUUCUACCAAGAUGGGCCGACGAGGGAUGCAGAAUUCCACCAUCGAGGAUGCAUCUCCAGGCGCCGGGGAUCUCGCCUGCGUUAUAUGCUCGGAGGUGAGCGCAGUUCUCGCCGUGAUGCGCAGAAACGUGCGGUGGGGCAGCCAGUAUGAGUCCUCCGACGACGACGCCGCAAUGGAGCACUCCCUCAUACGGUCUCUCAAGUCACUCCGCCGGCAGGUUUUUUAUUGGGGGGACGCUCUCAGCCCUUGGAGUUCCAUCGAACCCUCCCUCUAUCUCCGACCGUUUCUCGAUGUGGUCUGCUUCGACGAGACCAGUGCUCCUAUUACUGGCGUCGCGCUGUCCUCGAUAUACAAAAUCCUUAUGCUGGACACACUGGAUCCUGGGGCUGGCACCGGAGUGGAUGCUGCUAUGCAUUUGGUGAUCGAGGCUGUCACCAGCUGCCGGUUUGAGGUGACGGACCCCGCGUCGGAGGAGGCUGUGCUGAUGAAGAUCCUCCAGGUUCUGCUCGCAAUAAUGCGGAGCCGAGGGUCCUCUGUGCUCAGUGAUCAGCAUGUCUGCACGGUUGUCAACACGUGCUUCCGUGUUGUCCACCAGGCGGGCACCAAAGGGGAGUUGCUGCAGAGGUUCUCACGUCAGACCAUGCAUGAGCUCAUCCGAUGCAUCUUCUCGCGCUUGCCUGAUCUCAAGGCUGGUGCUGAAUCUCUUUCUGCCAAGCCAGAGAUGGGUGCCAUUGACAAAGAUCAAGCUUUUCAGAUCAACGAAGAAGAUAAUGCAAAUUCCACUGUUGGACCUGCAAGCACAGGUGCGGAAGACAACCAUGCACCAGGGCCAGAAUCUCCAAUUGGAGAGCAAAUUAUAGUUGAACCAUAUGGAAUCCCUUGCAUGCUGGAAAUAUUCCACUUUUUGUGUUCCCUUUUGAAUGUAGACGACCAUAUUGGAAUAACUCGUGGAACAAAUCAGAUAGCAAUUUAUGAGGAUGUGCCACUUUUUGCUCUUGGAAUGAUUAAUACAGUCAUUGAAUUAGGGGGUCCAUCAAUAAGCAAGCAUCAAAUGCUACUAUCAUUGAUUCAAGAUGAGUUGUUUAGGAAUUUGAUGCAGCUUGGGUUGUCCAUGAGUCCGCUUAUUUUGUCCAUGGUUUGCAGCAUUGUUCUGAACCUCUAUAGGCAGUUGCGCACAGAACUCAAAUUGCAGGUGGAGGCAUUCUUCUCUUGUGUGAUCCUGAGGGUUGCACAAAGCCGAUAUGGGGCUACUUACCAACAGCAAGAGGUAGCCAUGGAAGCUCUUGUGGACUUCUGCAGGCAGAGAACAUUUAUGGCAGAAAUGUAUGCCAACUUUGAUUGUGACAUAUCCUCUAGCAAUAUUUUUGAAGAACUUUCUAACCUUCUAUCAAAGAGUGCAUUUCCUGUUAAUCGCCCUCUAGCUUCCACACAUCUUCUGGCGUUGGAUGGCUUAAUUGCCAUUGUUAAGGAAAUGUCCAAUAGGAUUGAAAAUGCACCUCUUCCUUCAGAAAAGACAAUGUUAGAACUUGAGGCAUUUUCUCCCUUUUGGACAGUGAAAUGUGAAGACUACUCUGAUCCAGACAAGUGGGUUAAAUUUGUCAGUCAUAUGAAGCACAUCAAAAGAAAAUUAAUGAUUGUUGCUGAUCAUUUCAAUAGAGACCCCAAGAAAGGAUUAGAGUUUCUUAAAGGAACUGGCCUCUUGCCUGAAAAUCUUGAUCCCCAUAGUGUGGCAUGCUUCUUCAGAUAUACAGCUGGAUUGGAUAAAAACCUUGUGGGGGAUUUCUUGGGAAAUCAUGAUGAAUUUUGUGUGCAGGUGCUGCAUGAGUUUGUCCGCACUUUUGAUUUCCAGAAUUUGAAUUUGGAUACUGCUCUGCGACUUUUUCUGGAUACCUUCCGGUUGCCUGGUGAAUCUCAGAAAAUUCAGAGAGUUCUUGAGGCUUUCUCAGAGAGAUACUUCGAACAAUCACCAGAGAUUCUUGUUGACAAAGAUGCUGCCCUUGUGCUGGCUUAUUCACUUAUACUGCUCAAUACAGAUCAACACAAUGUCCAGGUUAAGAAGAAGAUGACUGAAGAGGAUUUUAUCCAUAACAAUCGUCGCAUUAAUGGUGGAAAUGACCUUCCAAGGGAGUAUCUGUCCGAACUCUAUCACUCAAUAUGCAGGAAUGAGAUAAGGACAAUUCCUGAACAAGGUUCUGUUUUUUCAGAAAUUUAUCAACAUUGGAUUAAUCUUAUCGGAAAGUCCAAGAAGACGUCUCCUUAUAUCGCUUGUGAUUCCCGUCCUCUACUUGAUCAUCAAAUGUUCACAAUCAUGUCAGGCCCCACAGUUGCUGCUAUAUCAGUAGUUUUUGAUAAUGCUGAACAUGAAGAAAUUCUUUUGACAUGUAUAGAUGGCUUCUUGGCUGUGGCAAAGAUCUCAGCAGGUUACCAUCUAGAAGAUGUUUUAGAUGAUUUAGUAGUAUCGCUAUGCAAAUUCACAACACUCUUGGACUCUUCUUUUGUUGAGGAACCAGUGACCAUCUUUGCAGACGACAUGAAAGCUAGAUUAGCGCUUGAGACAGUUUUCAGCAUAGCAAAUUCAUAUGGAGACUACAUACAUAAUAGCUGGAGAAAUAUCCUUGAUUGCAUAUUGAGAUUGCACAAGUUGGGUCUUCUUCCUGCUUGUAUUACUAGUGAUGCUACUGAUGAUUCUGAAACUUCUCUAGAUUCGGUUCCCGGAAAGUUUACUUCUAGCUCACUUUCCACCUCUCAAGUUCAAAUGGUCACUCCCCGUAAGUCCUCUGGGUUAAUAGGGAGAUUUAGCCAGCUGUUAUCUUUUGAAAUUGAAGAACCAAAGUUGGAACCAGAUGAACAGCAGCUUGCUGCUCAUCAGAGAACACUGCAGAUAAUAGAGAAGUGUCACAUCAACAAUAUAUUUAUGGAAAGCAAGUUUUUACAUGCUGAUUCACUAAUGCAGAUUGCUAGGGCCCUAAUUGCAGCUGGUCAUUGUCAGAAAGUUAGAAAUUCACCUGAUGUUGAAGACACUGCAGUUUUCUGCUUGGAGUUGCUUGUUGCUAUCACACUAAACAACCGAGAUAGAAUUGGACUUCUCUGGCAAGGUAUAUAUGAGCACAUUGCCAAUAUAGUUCAGUCUACUACAAUGCCUUGUGUUCUUGUGGAAAAGGCAGUUUUUGGACUCCUAAGAAUAUGCCAGCGAUUACUACCUUACAAGGAGAACCUGAUCGAUGAGCUUUUAAGAUCACUGCAAUUGAUUUUAAAGCUUGAUGCACGUGUUGCUGAUGCUUACUGUGAGAGUAUUACUCAGGAAAUCACACAGCUUGUGAAGGCAAAUGCAACCCAUAUGAAAUCACAGGUUGGUUGGGGGACCAUAAUUUCGUUGCUCUCCAUCACAGCCCGCCAUCCAGAAGCUUCAGAAGUGGGUUUUGAGGCACUAUUGUUCAUUAUGUCUGAAGGGGCUCACAUUUCACUAGCCAACUAUAUUCUUUUGAUUGAAGCUUCACGUCAUUUUGCAGAAUCUCAUGUUGGGAUAACAGAUAGAUCAGUACGUGCUGUAGAUCUAAUGGCAGAGUCCUUCAAUUGUCUUGUUUAUUGGUCUUCUGAGAUUAGAGAUGCUGGUGAGGAAGCUGACAGAAUUUCAGAGGGAAUCAGAGAGAUGUGGAAAAGGCUUGUCCAAGCACUGAGAAAGAGCUGCCUGGAUCAGAGAGAGAAAGUAAGGAAUCAGGCUUUGUUAUCUUUGCAGAAAUGCUUGGUAGGUGCUGAAGGAAUAUGCCUCUUACCUUCAUCUUGGAUGUGGGCCUUUGAUCUAGUUAUAUUUACUAUGCUUGAUGAUUUACUGGAGAUUGUACAAAACCAUUCACCAAAAAAAUACCAAAACAUGGAGGACACCCUUGUGCAUGCCAUAAAAUUGCUAUCAAGGGUGUUUUUGCAGCUAGUUCAAGAGCUUUCUCAGCAGAGUAGUUUCUGCAAGCUGUGGUUAGGGGUUAUUGGGCGGAUGGAGAAAUACAUCAAAAUUAAGGUGCGAGGUAGGAAAAUUGAGAAACUUCAAGAACUGAUUCCUGAACUUCUGAAGAAUAUUUUGUUUGUCAUGAAAUCAAAGGGGAUCCUUUCAAAGAGGAGCACCACAGAUGUGGAUAAUUUGUGGGAGUUGACAUGGCUUCAUAUAAACAAUGUUUCUCCUCUAUUGCAAUCUGAAGUUUUCCCUGUUCAGGGAAUGGAACAAAUACAUUCAGGUGUUCAGACUGACCUGAGUAGUCCUAGGCUAGUGGCUGGGCCUUCUGUUGGUUAGUCUGGUGUCGUGAGGUCCUUCUGGUUCAUUUUCUUGAAAGAGGCAUAGAAAUUUCUCAUUAAAGGUGAACUAUUAGGAUGACCACUCCUGUGCAUUUCUCACAUCCAGUGGUCACUGCCUAAUAGACACUUAUGAAUGUGUUCUUUUGGAUCCUUAGUUGCUUCAGUCAAAUCUCAUUUUGUGGGACAAGCAUAGCUGAGCCAUAAGCUGAAUUGGUUCUCUUUGGCUACCAUGUAAAUUUAGGAGUUUGUUAAAGGUUUGGAUGAGGAAAGAAGUACUAUUGGAUUAAAGGCUAAAUUUUCCUGCCAGUGACUCCCUCCAGGUGCAAUCCUUGAACUCUUCCUGCUUUCGAAGAUUGCUGUACUCAUCUCAUGAGUCUAAGUUAUAUGGUGUUGCUAAAUGAGACCUGUGAGAAACUUUAUUCCCUUUUCCACGGUCGAGGAAUUAGAGUAAAGAUUUUGCCACUGAAUCUCAAUACAGUUGACUAUUUGUGCAGGCGAAAAUUUGUUUUGAGUAGAUUUUAAUGGUAACCUUACAACAUGAUGUAUCCUGACAAAACAUGUACUAUUACCAAUAUUUUGAUUGAAUCAACAUUUUUCUGUUUUUCUUGUCA